UUACGGCCAUAUCACGUUGAAAUAGGUUCUAGUACGAUACCGAAGUCAAGCAACGUCGAGCCUGGUCAGUACCUAAAUGGGUGACCGCUUGGGAAUACCAGGUGUUGUAAG
Molecule: non-coding RNA, 111 nt
Organism: Acanthosepion pharaonis
Lineage: Eukaryota; Metazoa; Mollusca; Cephalopoda; Sepiida; Sepiidae
Source: the annotation of a GenBank genome assembly